GGUUAGCUGCGUAUGUGACCUUUGAGCGUGGCAUCUCGGUAAGCCCUGGUGUCUUUCUCUGCAAACACAUCGGAAGAUCUCUCCUCCAUAGAGAUGCAGAGAAGAGCAACAAUGCAGCCUGUGCACACGGGGGCCACAUCAUGCUUGGCAAAUAGUGACAUCAUGUUCAGAAGAAGGAUUAUUGGCUAAGGCUGUGGCUAAAGGGUAGAACAUUUGCCUAGCUCGUGCAAGACCCAGUCCCUGUUCCAACCAACCAACCAACCAACCAACCAACCAACCAACCAACCAACCAACCAACCAACCAACACUUUGUCAGGUGACUCUCUUAAAUACCCAAAACCCCUAUAGUAUUGAAUAGAAGCAACCCCGGGGCAGGACUUACUUAAUGGCGUAGUUGCAGACCAGGUACACAGCCUGCUGCCAGGUGCUGCCCCACACGUUGAUGCUGCUGCAGGUGUGAAUAGCGCAUCCCAGCCGACUGGAGGAGGCCCACACCAUCUGCAGAAGCAAAGAGUCAGGCAAGCUGAGACUCGAAGGAGCCCUGGGCAGCAACGGACCCCAUUCCAACCAAGACUUCACAAGAUCUACCACAGAACGGUACCUAGGGAGGCCAAGAACAUGGAAGAAGGUGAUGGAGGAUGGAAAAGUCACUCUGUCACCAACUUGUUUGGUGAAUCACUUCAUUUCUCCAUCACGUUCUCCAUCUGUAAAAUGAUAGAAUGUACAUGGUCAUACUUACCUCAUGGUUCUGUUCUGAAGAACUGUGGCAAGCUCACCUGUCCCUGGCACAUAGUAAGUGCUCAAUAAAGCUGGGCAAA
This is a long non-coding RNA of Rattus rattus (black rat), 818 nucleotides long. RefSeq lists it as uncharacterized. The transcript is spliced from 3 exons. NCBI's taxonomy places the organism in Eukaryota, Metazoa, Chordata, Mammalia, Rodentia, Muridae. The record is from RefSeq and is a predicted model, not a curated record.